RNAcentral lists this ribosomal RNA (430 nucleotides) under Listeria monocytogenes. Its description in RNAcentral is "partial 23S ribosomal RNA". It matches the Rfam family "Bacterial large subunit ribosomal RNA", at positions 2501 to 2925 of the family's 2925-position model. The record is from RNAcentral. Lineage: Bacteria; Bacillati; Bacillota; Bacilli; Caryophanales; Listeriaceae.
CACAUCGACGGGGAGGUUUGGCACCUCGAUGUCGGCUCAUCGCAUCCUGGGGCUGUAGUCGGUCCCAAGGGUUGGGCUGUUCGCCCAUUAAAGCGGUACGCGAGCUGGGUUCAGAACGUCGUGAGACAGUUCGGUCCCUAUCCGUCGUGGGCGUAGGAAAUUUGAGAGGAGCUGUCCUUAGUACGAGAGGACCGGGAUGGACAUACCUCUGGUGUACCAGUUGUCGUGCCAACGGCAUAGCUGGGUAGCUAUGUAUGGACGGGAUAAGUGCUGAAAGCAUCUAAGCAUGAAGCCCCCCUCAAGAUGAGAUUUCCCAACUUCGGUUAUAAGAUCCCUCGAAGAUGACGAGGUUAAUAGGUUCGAGGUGGAAGCGUGGUGACACGUGGAGCUGACGAAUACUAAUCGAUCGAAGACUUAAUCAAUUUUUAAA